AUCUACACUUCAACCAAGGAGAAUAAUAGAAUGAUUGAUAAAACCCUUAACCUCUAGAGUGUUACCUGAGGUUCACAUCCCAGCCUGCAGUCUCAUUCAUGUUGACGAAGAUUGCUACUCUCAACUGCAAGCUUGUUGCUGAUCUAGGCAUUCUAAUGUAUCUACAUGAAUGCUUAAAACAAUCUCUCAUUGAUGUCUGAAUCGCUGUGGGCAAGAAAACUCCGGAGAUACUAAUUUGGGAGCAAGCAACCGACUUGGUUCACACUAAUUGCAGGAACAUUGGCCUACAAAUCAACUCAUCAUUGAUUAAUAGAAAACCUGCAGGUAGUUGUGCUCCCAUGCAACUGCUGCCCUUGUCCUUCUUGGUGGUAGAGGUCACAGAUUAAGAAGGUGGUUUCAAAUGAACCUUG
This is a long non-coding RNA of Rhincodon typus (whale shark), 410 nucleotides long. RefSeq lists it as uncharacterized. The transcript has 3 exons. The record is from RefSeq and is a predicted model, not a curated record. Lineage: Eukaryota; Metazoa; Chordata; Chondrichthyes; Orectolobiformes; Rhincodontidae.